Molecule: long non-coding RNA, 7342 nt
Filed under: Homo sapiens (human)
Lineage: Eukaryota; Metazoa; Chordata; Mammalia; Primates; Hominidae
Description: HSALNT0211936
Source: RNAcentral
UUUUAUGUUCCCCUUCCUGCUGUGGCCCUCAUUACAGUGGAACUGAACUAGAGGAUACUCAAGGAAUCAGAGGCACACCUGGCCCCGAGAAUGAGACACUUAACAGUUUUUUUCCCAGACUACAGAGGAGGUGUGGCUGCAGGGGAAAGCAAGCAGGCAUGCUCCCUCCUGACGCUAGUUCUAAGGGGACAUGUAAAGGAUUUGGGCCAAGUUUGUAUAGGAAUGUCCUGGGAGGCCUCCUGCAAGCCAGGGAAGGCUGAAAGAACUAACAGCUUCUCUGACAUGGAGGGCUGGUCAGGCUCUGCAGUGUCACUGCUUGUGUUUGUAUCAUUCUUUCACCACUGAGUUACUGUGUGACUGUGGACAAAUUUCUUAACUUCUCUGAGCCUUAGAUUUCUCAACUCUAACAUGAAGAUUUUCCUAUAUUUUAAAAAGUUAUGAUGAGUCAAUGAGAGAAUUAACGUAAAGCGCCUGGCAUAAAGAAAGCCCUCAAGAAAUGAUAGUAUUAGUGAACAUCUUGUUGCCGUCCUAGGCUCGAAUAGACUGUCCCUAAACACUCUGUUCCCACCGCUGUGAACAGUGGCAGCAUAAUUCUUUUGCAGAAUACUUCCAUUAUUUGCUUAUGUCCCUAAUGGGACCCAAAUGCCAAACUUGUAAGUCCAUCCUGUUCUACUAAAAGGCAGGGGCACAGAUAGAAAGCUGCUGAGAGACUACACUCUGAGGUCAGCCUUGACCCUGAGGCUCAUCUGGCUCUCCCUGUUCCUCUACAGCCAGGUAAGAGAGAACAAGAUCUCUUUCUGCCUUCACUGUCCUAGGCUCCAGUAGUGCAGUGGGAGGAAUGGUCUUUGGAAAAUAAUGUUCCUUUUUCUUGCUUUUUUUUAAUUUCUGAGAUAAGAUCUUCCUAUGUUGUUCAGGCUGGUCUCAAACUCUUAAGCUCAAGUGAUCCUCCUGCCUCAGCCUCCUGAGUAGCUGGGAUUAUAGGCACAUACCACCAAACCCUAUUUGGAAAACUUUUUUUUUUUUUUUCCUGACAGAAAACCUUUUCUAAGACAAUCUUAAAACGAGAAUACAAACAAUAGUUUUUUGUUUGUUUUGUUUUUUUUUGAUAUGGAGUCUCGCUCUUGCUGUCUAGGCUGGAGUGCAAUGGUGCACAAUUUUGGCUCACUGCAACCUCCCCCUCCCAGGUUCAAGCAAUUCUCCUUCCUCAGCCUCCCGAGUAGCUGGGAUUACAGGUGUGCACCACCACGCCCGACUAAUUUUUGUAUUUUUAGUAGAGACGGGGUUUCACCAUGUUGGCCAGCCUGGUUUUGAACUCCUGACCUCAAGUGAUCCGCCUGCCUCGGCCUCCCAAAGUGCUGGGAUUACAGGUGUGAGCCACCACGCCCGGCCUACAAACAAUAGGUUUUAAUGUGCAACUAUAUCUGCAUUAACAAUAGGACAGAGAAACUAAAUGCAGCAAGAUGGGUGCAGUGGAGCAGCUUCUUUGCAAAUCUGGUGUCAGGUAUGGUGCUUAUCACAUCUUGUGGGCACACAGGAGGCAGCUUCAGUUUUGAGUUGUUGGAUGUUCCAGAUUAUAGAGUUUAACGCUGUGUCAUUAUGAGUCUUGAAAUAACUGGGCCCAAAUGUACUUUACUCACUAAAAUAUAAGUAAUGGCCACAAGUAUUUUUUUCCUCUUUCAAAAUCUGUCUGAUUUCAUAGGAAGAGGACAAGUUAUAUAAAUAAAGCAAUUAGUCUAAUAAGAUUUUCUUCCAGGAGCCAGAGAACACUGUAUUUUCUGCCUAAUGGUUGGAUGUGGCUGUUGGGCAAACAAAAUGACCUUCUCCAUUCAUUCAAUUUCAGACCUUAAACAAAGGGCAGAGAGAGAGUUAGCAGCUAAUGCUGGCAAGUUAGAAGGCAAGGAAACUAUGCCACAGAACCUUCCUGCCAAUAUUCCAGAGCGAUGAUCCUAAAUGGGGAAAAGGCAUUUAAUGGCUCUAGAGAGGGUCCUGGGGAGAAAGGGCAGAGAAAGAGCACAGGACACAGAAUAGAGUGCGGUUCACAGCCAUGACGCCCAACCUCGCCAUGACCAUAGACCCUAAUGGCCACCUGGGGCUGACGAGAAGCACACCACGCAUGCGUGUUGCAGGCGCGUGUCUGUCUGAAGGAUGCUGCUGGCACACGCAGAUUCUGACCCAGUUAUGAAGACCAACCUUCUCCUUUUAUACCCCUCCUGCCAGCUGUUGGGGAGAUCUGGAGACACCCCGUGCUAGCAGCACCCUCCAGCUCAGGGCAGUGGUCAUGCAGGGAUGUGGCUGCACAGUAUGGGAGAGACACCAGGCUUGGACCUGGCAUUGAUAAGUCACUUUUCCAUAGGAGAAGGCAGUGACAGACAUUUAAAUGCAAGAUGGGGCUGAUGACAGUCCACUGGGGGUGGGAUGGGGCUUGGUAGGGUGGAAAGGACAGACAACAGACUUCCUGAAUCUCUCUGGGGAAACAAACUGUAAUCUUCCCAAGUCUAGGUUCUUAUACCGAAUGGUGCUGCUAUGGAAUACUGGACGAGCCAAGAGAAGGAGAGGUGCUCUAUCCUGCUAAGAUUGGAUCUGGAUGGAAUUUGCUGGGGAGGGCUGGAACUAGUUACCUGCACACUCAUGGCAAUGGACCACCCUGCCAGGUAUCCAGACUGGUUUGAGAAGGGGGAAGCUGCAGGAGUGGAGAGAGUAGAGAAUGAUACCGUUUGAUACAAGUUACAGCUUAAGAAGUGGUAGCCAUUACUACCAUAUAUGUAUGCUGCAUACUCCUUUGUUGCAUAGGCAUUAAGUGUUCCAAAUUCAUUGGAUAUAAUCCUUAAAGCAACUGUGGUUAUUAUUCCUAAUUUAAAGAUUAGGAAACUGAGAAACAGACCCAUCUGUAACCUGUCACACAGUUUGGGAGUGCUACAGUCAGGAUUUGAACUCAGGCCUUUGCUCUCAGUCCCUACGCUAGACUUCCCCUUGAGGCUACCAAUCUUCUUAUUUGGAUUCUGGGUUAAGAUACUUGGACCGACAGGUGAGGAGAAUCAUUACACAGUUUACUUUACUUUCACCUAAUAAAUGACACUCAGGACUUCAUCUGAUGAGAAUUCACGCACUCUGUGUGUUUCCUUGUGUUGUACUUCUUUGCUGGCUCAUGUGACAUUCUUUUUCCUCUGAUUCUAUGGAAGGAGAAGGGCUGAGAAGUACAUACAGUGCAGGUGGUAAGUGAAGGGAAAGAAAAGUAAUAGGGCUGGAAAAAAUCCGAGGCAUCCUUCAGCCUGACACCUGGUUUUAUUUCAAACUACUGAGGGUCUUUUUGCUGGAAAAGAUAGAAGGACACUUAAAAUUUUCAAAUACUCAAAGAGCUGUCGGCCAGAAGAGGGAUUAGAUGAGAAAUAAUUUCAGGGAGAAAUAAGUUCAGGGAGUGGAAGUUAAAGGCAGCAUAUCUAAAUACAUCAUAAGAAAAACUAAAACACGUAAUGUGGUUGUAAUACUCAGUACCAUUAAGUGAUGAGAGUGCUCCCUGGCAGGAACAGCAUUGUGUCAUUGAAAACACGUGAAGCAGAGCCGGACUGGCCUGUCCGGCGUCAGGUGGGUGGGUGGCCACACCAGUGGCCUCCACAGUCUGUGCCCAUAUCAAGGGACUCUUUUCUUUCUUCUAUUUUUGCAUUUAUCACUAAAAACUCUGGGAGGAAAAAAAAAAAGCUGGCAUUUUGAAGAUUGUCCUUCCCUCAGCUACAGAUGCUUUGUUUUCCUUGAGUCUGAAAUGGGCUUUUCUUUAUUAAAAAUAAAGUGAAAUAAACUUGCUCAAGCUGAUCUCCCUGAGCCAGUGAUGGAGGAAGUGGGCAUGUGGGUAUAUUUGAGAAUGCCGGUGGGUCAGUGCCUUACCUGGCAGGUUGUAACUGACCAGCAUCAGAAUAUUCUGUGCGAUAUCUCCAGAGACACACUACACAGUGUACUUUAUUUUCUCUCGAUGAAACUCAGUACACUAAAUGCCCUAUACUGUUCCUCUAGCGGGCAGGGGCAGUGCUCAAAUCCGUGGUGGGUUUGCUGGCUGUGUUUUCCAUGCUGUCUGUGACUGGAAUCCAGCAGCCCUUCAUAAGCACAUACUCAAUUCCUUUCCAAGGCUCCCAACACCCUGCCUUUCCUGGGUUUUAUAAUCAUUAUUGCUUCCUUGUAUCUUCUUUCUGGUCAUGGGACAAUGUUGAUUAACCGUAGGUAAAGGUUAGAGGCAAGUCUCGGAGAUGGAAACCCAAGGUCAUGCAGUUGUGCCAAUGCCCGUUGUUAGACAACAUGCUUCUAUUCCUGACAAACCAGUCUCAAGCAGCUCUGACUGAUGGGGCGGAUUUCAAUGCUCUCCAAUGACUUCCAAGUGUUAAGAAAAAGCUGCUGCUACCCUACAUGCCCAAGCUAUACGAACUACUUUUUUCCAGGCAAACAGGAUUCCUGCAGACAAUGCUCGGAUGAUGAAAUCUGAGAGGCUGGAUGACAGAGAAACCCACAUGCAUACACACACACUUUAUAAAGCUUAGGAACAAAAGCACUUUAUAAUCUCCUUCUGAUGCCAAGUUUACAGUGCUUCCAGAGUCAACAAAGGUGACUCAGGAGAGUGCACCCAGCUCCUUUCAGCACUUAUUUAGCUCAGCCACCUGUGUGAGCUCAAAGACAAGGGUGCCGACUUCACCUGAGUAGACCCUGAGUCACGUGAUUUCUUGCUGGAGAUGAUUCAGCAAAGGAGCACUAACCUCUGAGACAAGGCUUCAGCUUCCUGAGCUCUGCUGACUCGCCUGGGACUUCCCUAAGCCCUUCUGGACCUAGAUGAGGGCAAAACUCAGUGGAACCUCAGAAGCCCUAAAAAAAUGAUAGACUUUCUUUUGUCUCAUCAUUAUCAGCAUUUUGGGAUGAUUUAGUCAGCCUAAGAAACCUGAUGGCAUGUUGACACCAGAAAACAGGUAGUAUAUAUUCCCAAACCAAGUUAAAAAAAAUUAAGAAAUAACAGCUGGAAUGCCUUUUAUUUUUUCUUUACACAAAUGUGUGUGUCAUCGUCAUAUGCCUUUUUUGUGUUAAUUUCUGAGGAUCCUGCCAGUGUGAAUACUCCAUUCUCUGCGAGUCGCAGGUCAGGCUGCUUUUGAGGCAAGCACACGUUAAGUAUUGAGCAGAAACAUUUGAAGCAAAGAUGAGAAAGACAGAAGGGGAAGCAAGAAAAAUAGUCUUCCCAGUGUGCCUAUUUGGGUGCAUAUAAAGUUACUUUUAGAUGUGCGAUUACUGGUUAAUGAUUUGGGGAAUUCUUUUCAAGUAGAAAUCCUGGGCUAAAAACUAAGUGUGCUCAAGCUACCCCCGCACCCACUGAUUCUGCACUCCAUGGGAAAAGUUCUCACAAGCAAGUCCUUUGUCCACUACCCACGUCUAUAGGAAAUGUUUGAACAGCUAUACACAAAGAACUCACAAGUCCACAACCUCGGGGGUGUUGCGGGUGGAGAGGGCAGUGGUAAAGGUGAUGACAGGGAGGGCCUGUGGGGACAGUAAUAUUAGAUUAGUGGUCAGAAGAUGCUGGAGCCUGCCUUGCCAGUCACACACUUUUAGAGGAAUGCUGGACAGUACACACCCUCCCCAACCCUGAAUGUAGGCCCUCGCUGACAUCACGCCAGAUGAAGCCCUGAGGUCUUUAACAUCUGUAACUCUAUGGCAUGUAACAUAAACAGGUGUCUGACCAGUUUCCCCAGAUAUAGAAUAAUAAUAAUACCUUUCAUUUAAAAAGGUAAGAGGGAAUUCAACAAGCUUUCCUUCUUAAAUAAAUCUCCAUCUCAGGAAGCCAUGGAAAGAUGCCCCUCCCACACUAAGACUGUAGAGAGAGGCACUGUGAAGGUCUGGCUUGGAGAUCUCAGCUCUUCCUGCCUCUCAGGGGGAAAGGGCAGAUCCAGCAGGCCGGGAAAGGAUCUCCCAGGGUCCCAAGGAGGCAGCAUGGGGCAAAGUCCAACAGUGAGGAUUCUCUCCUUCUCUGGUCUCUUUUCUGUUAAAAAUGCUUCUUUGGGGUACCCUUCAUUACUACCCUGGAGGUUGAAGGACACUUCUUGAGAAGGCAUAGAUACUCUUCAGGUAUGCUGAAGAAAUGAGUUGUGCUAAAACCACUGGUUAAUUUUGUCUGUGGCAAAAAAUCAUGAGGGUGACAUAGACUCCCAGGCCAGGAACCCGAGACUGGAUUUAAGAGAUGUGGCCAGGAUCCACAGGGGAGCUUGUAUGUGGCUCACAUCAUUAGCUCUUUCUGUAUAUUUGUAUUGUAAACCAUUUCCCUUCAUUUGUGAAGAUGGAGAUCACUUUUUCUAUACAGGCUAGAAAUGUUUCUUCAUACACACACGCUGAGCUUGUUUAUAAAAGAUAUUCAUUUAUAUGGUGGUUUUAACAACUUUUCCAUGUGGAAAUUUUAGACGACAGUAACACAGACCCUCAUGUACUCAUCACUCAGCCUUGAUGGUUACUGACACAUGCCCAAUAUUGUUUCAUCUGUUUCUCCCCACAACUCCUGGAUUAAUUUGAAAGAAAUCCUAGAAGUCACUUAAUCAGCAAAUACUCCAGUCUGUUGGUCCACUCCUUAUACAAUAGCCAGGGUGAUCUUUUACACAUGAAGUAGUGAUUGCAUCACUCAUGCUUGCUUGGAAUUCUUCAAAGACUUACGUUGGCACUUCAGAUAAAGUGUAGACUCCUUCGCGUGACCUAGGAUGUCCUUUGGGCUCUCACUGUUCCCUCAGCCUCCUCACCUGAAGCUCUCACUGCCCCACCCCUUUGCUCAUCACACUCCAACCCGCCUGCCAUUGAGCUACUCAAAUGGACUGCUCCUUUCUCAAGACCUCUGCACACUUUCAAGCCUCAUUUCUCUUCAGCCUUUAUUAAAUGUCAUCUCCUCCAGAUGGCCUCCUUUGGUGGCCCAGGUCAUGUUAGAUCUGCCUGUUAAAUAAAUGCUUUCAAAGAACCUUGGAUUUUAUUUUUUUCUCAUUAAAUUGUAAGUAUAUAGUUAAUGUUUAAUUUCUCUUUAAAAUUUCUUUCUCCCUCCCCACCCCAACUGGACUGUAAAUUCCACAAGAGCAGGAUCAUGUUUGCCUCACUCAUCACUGAAUUCCUGGCACCUCGCACAGAACCUGAGUAUUGCAGAACCCAUGCCUGCUAUGCACAUAUGCAUUGAUAUAAGCCUAUUAUAUAAAUAAACAGAUCAAUAUCUAUUUGGCUAUUUACACCCCACCUAUAUGUCUUUGGUCAAGAUUUAAAAGCUCCUGGAAAAACAAAAAUACAAUUUCCUUAGGAAUAAAAGCCUACCACAGCCUUGUGUAAAAUUAAGCACUUAAUAACCUUGAUGAUG